GGAGGGGUGGCAGAGCGGUCGAAUGCGGCGGUCUCGAAAACCGUUAACGGCGGUUACGUCGUUCGAGGGUUCAAAUCCCUCCCCCUCCG
RNAcentral lists this transfer RNA (89 nucleotides) under Actinomycetota bacterium. RNAcentral describes it as "Actinobacteria bacterium tRNA-Ser". It matches the Rfam family "tRNA". From Rfam's summary of the family: Transfer RNA (tRNA) molecules are approximately 80 nucleotides in length. Lineage: Bacteria; Bacillati; Actinomycetota. The record is from RNAcentral. RNAcentral also lists the same sequence under 1 other name.